RNAcentral lists this long non-coding RNA (800 nucleotides) under Lepidothrix coronata (blue-crowned manakin). RNAcentral describes it as "lncRNA (ENSLCOG00000010679.1)". Lineage: Eukaryota; Metazoa; Chordata; Aves; Passeriformes; Pipridae. The record is from RNAcentral.
UGCAGAGGCAGGCAGUCUGCAGCAAAAGACUCAGCAGCUCUUGAAGCUUUUGCCACUGGUUUUCUGUAGAAUUUUGCAGUGUGGAGGAGGCUGGGAAAAGAGCUGGUGGUGGUUCUUGCUGUUCGGGGGAGGAGGGAUUGAUGUUGGUGAUGAAUUUGUCUUUCUCUGAGAGAUCAGCUGACUGACGGUACAGAUAGUGGUGCCUUCAGUUGUUAUGUGCUUAAGGAAAAUGGGCAACACAUCUCACUGUUGUUUGGGCAAGAUGCAAAUAAAGUGUGUGUUGCCAGGUGGAAAAUAUGCUCUGCUGGUGACUACACUGAUGCAGACCUUCCUGUUUCCAUUACAAUGAUGGACUCUUCACUUACUGAGCUUGACUGUGCAGAGGCAACGCUACCAGCCAGUCUGAUCCCAUCCAGUGACCACCUCACUUCAGCCCGAGACGUUCUUGCGUCCUCGGCGGAAAGCACGGCACCGGUGACGGGUGAGUCCUUAACCUGGAGCUCAGAGGGGCAGAGGUUUGCACUGGAAGUCUUGGAUAUGCUGAAGUCUGUGCAUUUACUGAGAUGUAAGGGCUGUGUCUUCUGUCUGGUACUGCAGGCUGCCUUGUCAUGGAGGAAGAAUCACCCCAGGGCUUACGUGAGGGAGAGGACGAUGUGCCAACUUCUGCGGCAACGGAGAAAAACAGUGAUAAGGAUCCAGCUGGUCCUGUGUCAGGUACAGUAACUGCUGGCACUCACCCAGUGGUUUGCUUCCAGCACACCUUUUGAAGUGAGGAAGCUGAGUAAGAACAACAAUUUGCG